CAGCCAGUGCUGAAGCCAUGGAUGAAAAUCACUCUGAGAAGCUUUUCAGAGCUUGGCUGGGGACACAGAAAGGUACCAGGUUAUCCAUUUAGGAGCAGGAACACAGAACAAGGUGGCCUGGAUGGAUGAAGUAGAGCACUGGUCUUUGGAAAGAAGCCCUGUUGCUCCUACCCCAUGGGAUUCCUGUCUCGAUGAGAUGUACACAUUGUGGAAAGAUAGAUCCUUACGAAGGAGAUGAGAUGAAAAGACUGGAUUUGAUCUUGGGCUAACCGUGCUCAAGUAUACACACGAGCUUUACUCAGUUCAGACGGAUACUGGGGCUCCGUAUGUCAAGGUUCGAGCAGGAUCUGGGGUGCUGUGCUCUCUCCAGGGACCCUGCUCAGGCUCCUGUUGUCUUGAACAAAGAAUGGAAUGCGAAGUGAGACAGAGGGGUUUUAUAUUUAUUAAAGGUAUUAAA
Molecule: long non-coding RNA, 457 nt
Organism: Fukomys damarensis (Damara mole-rat)
Lineage: Eukaryota; Metazoa; Chordata; Mammalia; Rodentia; Bathyergidae
Exons: 3
Source: RefSeq, a predicted model, not a curated record